UAUUUUUGUACCAGCCCUGCAGAACUGCUGUAAUAUUAUUGUCACUCCAAGAACAGAAGAACUUUUGAAACUAGUUAUCCACCUUAGAGAAGAGCUGCAAUACUUAGCAAAUGUUGUGGAGUGGCCUCAUAGAAAUAUGGUUCCCGAGAUUGCAAGCUUGGGAAAGCUGAGCUUAAGGCAACGGUGAUAAUGGAACUGGAUAAACUUUAUUCAGAUGAGAGUGAGAGCAAAAAGGAUCCCAAAUCAGAUUUUCAGGAAGGCAAAUUGAGCGAGUUCUGUGCUGAUUAUCGUGGGUUUCAGCCACUCUGCUCCUAUUCUGCAUCUGUUGUUAUAGUGUCCCAGUAGGAGACCUUCCAUGUAAACUAAGAGGCGUCGUGAAGGCUUAAACAAAGAAACUUGAACCUGAAGUUAUGACCUCCUUGUUAACUUUUCAUCCUUUUCCACUUCACCUUUGUGGUGUUGCUGCUGGCCAAUUGUUAAACUCCAUAUCUGUAGAGCUAUUUCAUGUAUGUAAGAGCAGGAACACUUGCUUUGCAGUCUUGAGUCACCAUUCGAAUUGCCAAAAUCCUUUUUGUCUCUGAGACAUCUUGUAUCUGAAGAUAUUGAUGAGUAAUAGUUGGGUUUUCUUACUGCAUGUCAGUUGGCACAGUUUUACUUCCUGAAAAUGAUACACACAAUAGAUGUUUGGGAUAGCAUAGGAAACAGUAUUAUUAGCAUGACUUUACUCAUGGCAGUAAUUGAUAUUAAUGCAGAAGUGACUAGUUAGGGAUUAUAGGUCUGUGAGAGUUUUCUUAACAUGACAGUAGUGUUCCUAUGGUUGCACAAUGUUAACUGCUUAGAAUAAAAGCCAGAAAGUAGUGAGGAAGCUACAGUUGAUGAUGACGGGAGCAAAUCUUCAGUACUGAAAACAUGGAUCUACAGUACCACUAAAGACACGAGCCUGUUAGUUGUAUGUCAAUGGCUUGUAGACUCUGAAAUCAAGCAUUAGGAAGAAAUUAGGCUUGUGUGACUUAGGCUUGGACUUUCAACAUACCUGAAGGGUGCCUACAGUAAAGCUGAGGAGGGAGUUGUUAUAAGGGCAUGUAGGGACAGGACAAGGGGAAAUGGCUUUAAAAUGGAAGAGGGUAGAUUCAGCCUAGUGAGGCACUGGAACAGGUUUCCCAGCAAGGCUGUGGAUGCCCCCUUCCUGGAAGCAUUCAAGGCCAGGAUGGAUGGGGCUGUGAGCAACCUAGGCUUAUAGGGAGGUGUGCCUGCCUGUAGCAGGGGGUUGGAACUAGAUGAUCUUAAAGGUCCCUUCUGACCUAAGCUGUUCUAUGAAUCCAGAGCUUUUGGGUAAGGUUAGCCUUCUUGUUUCUAGAAUUUUAAAUCUAAUUUUGGUGCUGAUGCAUUCCUGCUUCGCAGUUGGAUGCCACGGGGUUUUAAUUAAAGCUAUCGCUCAUAUAAUUUGGGGCCAGAUGGCGUGCAUCCCAGGGUCCUGAAGGAGCUGGCUGAGGUGGUUGCUUGAGCCGCUCUCCAUCAUAUUUGAGAAGUCG
Molecule: non-coding RNA, 1532 nt
Organism: Coturnix japonica (Japanese quail)
Lineage: Eukaryota; Metazoa; Chordata; Aves; Galliformes; Phasianidae
Source: RefSeq, a predicted model, not a curated record